GGCCAAAGAGGGGGACCUUCGGGCCUCUCGCGUCAGGAUAUGCCUAGGUGGGAUUAGCUAGUUGGUGAGGUAAGGGCUCACCAAGGCGACGAUCCCUAGCUGGUCUGAGAGGAUGAUCAGCCACACUGGAACUGAGACACGGUCCAGACUCCUACGGGAGGCAGCAGUGGGGAAUAUUGCACAAUGGGCGCAAGCCUGAUGCAGCCAUGCCGCGUGUGUGAAGAAGGCCUUCGGGUUGUAAAGCACUUUCAGUCGUGAGGAAGGUGGUGUAGUUAAUAGCUGCAUUAUUUGACGUUAGCGACAGAAGAAGCACCGGCUAACUCCGUGCCAGCAGCCGCGGUAAUACGGAGGGUGCGAGCGUUAAUCGGAAUUACUGGGCGUAAAGCGCAUGCAGGUGGUUUGUUAAGUCAGAUGUGAAAGCCCGGGGCUCAACCUCGGAAUAGCAUUUGAAACUGGCAGACUAGAGUACUGUAGAGGGGGGUAGAAUUUCAGGUGUAGCGGUGAAAUGCGUAGAGAUCUGAAGGAAUACCGGUGGCGAAGGCGGCCCCCUGGACAGAUAC
This 560-nucleotide ribosomal RNA is filed under the name Vibrio natriegens. RNAcentral's name for it is "bacterial SSU rRNA". It matches the Rfam family "Bacterial small subunit ribosomal RNA", at positions 199 to 740 of the family's 1533-position model. The record is from RNAcentral. Lineage: Bacteria; Pseudomonadati; Pseudomonadota; Gammaproteobacteria; Vibrionales; Vibrionaceae.